RNAcentral lists this ribosomal RNA (208 nucleotides) under uncultured Mesotoga sp. RNAcentral describes it as "partial 16S ribosomal RNA". It matches the Rfam family "Bacterial small subunit ribosomal RNA", at positions 568 to 775 of the family's 1533-position model. Lineage: Bacteria; Thermotogati; Thermotogota; Thermotogae; Kosmotogales; Kosmotogaceae. The record is from RNAcentral.
AGCGUAGGUGGCCUAACAUGUCAACUGUGAAAACCCGGAGCUCAACUCCGGACUUGCAGUCGAAACUGGUAGGCUUGAGGACGGUAGAGGAAGACGGAACUGCCAGUGUAGGGGUAAAAUCCUUAGAUAUUGGCAGGAACGCCGGUGACGAAGGUGGUUUUCUGGGCCGGUUCUGACACUGAUGCUCGAAAGCCAGGGGAGCGAACGG